RNAcentral lists this ribosomal RNA (468 nucleotides) under uncultured bacterium. Its description in RNAcentral is "partial 16S ribosomal RNA". It matches the Rfam family "Bacterial small subunit ribosomal RNA", at positions 28 to 507 of the family's 1533-position model. The record is from RNAcentral.
GACGAACGCUGGCGGCGUGCUUAACACAUGCAAGUCGAACGGAAAGGCCCUGCUUUUGUGGGGUGCUCGAGUGGCGAACGGGUGAGUAACACGUGAGUAACCUGCCCUUGACUUUGGGAUAACUUCAGGAAACUGGGGCUAAUACCGGAUAGGAGCUCCUGCUGCAUGGUGGGGGUUGGAAAGUUUCGGCGGUUGGGGAUGGACUCGCGGCUUAUCAGCUUGUUGGUGGGGUAGUGGCUUACCAAGGCUUUGACGGGUAGCCGGCCUGAGAGGGUGACCGGCCACAUUGGGACUGAGAUACGGCCCAGACUCCUACGGGAGGCAGCUGUGGGGAAUAUUGCACAAUGGGCGGAAGCCUGAUGCAGCAACGCCGCGUGCGGGAUGACGGCCUUCGGGUUGUAAACCGCUUUCGCCCGUGACGAAGCGUGAGUGACGGUAAUGGGUAAAGAAGCACCGGCUAACUACGUG